Molecule: long non-coding RNA, 926 nt
Organism: Bufo gargarizans (Asiatic toad)
Lineage: Eukaryota; Metazoa; Chordata; Amphibia; Anura; Bufonidae
Exons: 3
Source: RefSeq, a predicted model, not a curated record
AACGGCAUCACGCCACCGGCCGGGGCGCGAGCCACAAUCUAGUUACCUUAGCUCACAACUCAGCAGUAUAUUAGAUUUCACGAAGAAGGAAGUCACGGAGCAAGCGCUACUUAACAGGUGUUCCAAUGUUUUUGAUGACAAGACUAGCACAACCCUGCGAGAUACCAUAAUGGGACCAUAGCCUACGUCAGGAUUCAACAGGCUCUAUUUCAACACCGACCCGGCAUUGCUGUCAUGGGUCCAUUAUAUACGUAAGCUAUGGAUACAGAAUAAUUGAGGAGGAUCUUGAUAAUUCAGGUUGAUCGGAAGUGGAAAGAACUGCGGCGCACCACCAUACUGGGACAUAGUAGAAGUGUUUGGCAGCAUAAGGAAGAAGAAUUGGCAUCCGAUUUAUGCUCUCUGUUUUUGGAUUCCAGGAGAGCAGUGCAGUCCCUUAAGGCUCCAUUCACACGUCCGCAAAUGUUGUCCACGCCCGUUCCGCAAUUGUGCGGAACGGGUGCGAACCCAUUCAUUCUUUAUGGGGACUGAAUGGAUGCGAAGAGCACACUAUGGGCUCUCCGCAUCCGCAUUUCCGGAGCGCAGCCCCGAUCUUCCAGUCUGCAGCUCCGGAAGAAAAUAGAGUAUGUCCUAUUCUUGUCCGCAAUUGCAGACAAGAAUUGGCAUUUCUAUGGGGGUGUCGGCCGGGUAUAGUGCGGACACACAAUUUGCGGAUCCGCAAUGCACUACAGAUGUGUGAAUGGACCCUAACUUUGUUUUACUUGCGUGAAUGUGAAUUGAACCCACUUCACGUAGGACUAGCAGCAAUUACAGUAAGAUAUAUAACCCGGGUUUUUCUCAGUAUAUUUUAUUGGCCAUAUCAAUAUCCACAUCAACUGAUCUAGAUUAUAGCAUAUUAUAGAAACAUAGAAUGUGUCGGCAGAUAAGAA